RNAcentral lists this ribosomal RNA (400 nucleotides) under uncultured Archaeospora. RNAcentral describes it as "SSU rRNA". It matches the Rfam family "Eukaryotic small subunit ribosomal RNA", at positions 569 to 972 of the family's 1831-position model. Lineage: Eukaryota; Fungi; Glomeromycota; Glomeromycetes; Archaeosporales; Archaeosporaceae. The record is from RNAcentral.
AGCAGCCGCGGUAAUUCCAGCUCCAAUAGCGUAUAUUAAAGUUGUUGCAGUUAAAAAGCUCGUAGUUGAAUUUUUAGGCCUGGCCGGACGGUCCGUCUCUGGCGAGUACUGUUCUGUCGUCGGGUCUAUCCUUCUGGUAAGCCGGUAUGUUCUUAAUUGGGCGUGCCGGGGAGCUAGGACCAUUACCUUGAAAAAUUAGAGUGUUUAAAGCAGGCUUUUGCUUGAAUAGAUUAGCAUGGAAUAAUAGAAUAGGACGUUGUGGUUCUAUUUUGUUGGUUCAAGGACCACCGUAAUGAUUAAUAGGGAUAGUUGGGGGCAUUAGUAUUCAAUUGUCAGAGGUGAAAUUCUUGGAUUUAUUGAAGACUAACUACUGCGAAAGCAUUUGCCAAGGAUGUUUUCA